Long non-coding RNA from Hyla sarda, 415 nucleotides. RefSeq lists it as uncharacterized. The transcript is spliced from 3 exons. The record is from RefSeq and is a predicted model, not a curated record. NCBI's taxonomy places the organism in Eukaryota, Metazoa, Chordata, Amphibia, Anura, Hylidae.
UUUGAUAAAUCUCCCCCAUUGGGAUUAUAACCAUCAGGUCGUUCUAAUCAUUCAAUACCCUACUUCAUCCUUCAAAGAAGGUAUUACAUAGGAAUGUAACAGUAGUGGGUGCAGACCAGUGGUGUACAUGUCAUAGAGGCAAUCCACACUACUCAUAUGGGGCCACCCAGCCAGGCACACAAAGUAGGGCAAGAGCUGGUGAUAAGACCUGUGGGUAGUCGCACAUCACUGCCAUCAGCUGCUGUGUUUACAUGAACAGACAGUCAGAACAGAGAAGAGAUGAUAGGGUGGACUAUAUAUUAGACAGACCAGAGUAGAAGACUGCAGGAACUGGCUGGAGCAGGGCAUUCAUGAACACCCUGGCGUGUUUACUGUAUAGAAAGUGAGUGCAGAAGCUGAGCUUGAUCCAUAGCGG